Molecule: long non-coding RNA, 2002 nt
Filed under: Homo sapiens (human)
Lineage: Eukaryota; Metazoa; Chordata; Mammalia; Primates; Hominidae
Description: HSALNT0343027
Source: RNAcentral
GUAGAUUUAAAGAACAGUAUCCUUCUUUGGAAACAUGCAAUAUUUUUAGAAUCCUGUGAUAUUCUACUGUAAGACAUAAGCCAACAGUUUAUACAUCCCUGUCCAGGAAGUUGAAUAAUAAGUAAUCCUGGGAAUUUAAACCUCUAUUUUAAACCUUUGUAAGGACACUUUUAUUUCUUCAGUAUAAAUACAAAAAAGAAAAAAAAGCCAACAUCAUCUGAGCUUCUACUUGCUUCAAAAAGAGUUCUAUACUAGGGUUUAAAAAAUCAACAAAUACAGUAAGGACACUUUUAUUUCUUCAGUGUAAAUACAAAAAAAAAAAAGCCAACAUCAUUUGAGCUUCUACUUGCUUCAAAAAGAGUCCUAUACUAGGGUUUAAAAAAUCAACAAAUACAGGAGGAAAGAGAAAUAUUCAGAUUCAGUGAAUUUAUUUCUUUUUGAAAUUACUUUUGUACAAAAUGUAUAGGAAAUAUGUUUAUUUUCAAAAUGCAUUGAACCCGGGAGGUGGAGCUUGCAGUGAGCCGAGAUCGCACCACUGCACCCCAGCCUGGGUGACAGAGCAAGACUCCAUCUCAAAAAAAAAAAAAAAUGCAUUUUUUUGGUUAGAUUAAGGCAAAGAGAAAAGAUAAUAUGGUUCUCUUUUUUUCCCUAACUCUAGGUUAAAAGACUAAUUAGUAAAAUUGAUAAUGUAUGGACAGUGUGGGAGAAUAAAUGUGUAAUCAAAUUAGUGCUUAGUAAUAAUUUGGCAUUUCAUACAUUUUAUUGUGUUUAUACCAUGUUACCAUAAAGAAUAAAUUAUAAAUCAUAUUUUAUGCACAGAUAAACAGACUUUAGAGGCUUAACUGGUCAUUCAUACAGCUAAUAUAUGUCAGGGCCCGUAUAAGCGAUGGAUCUGUAUACAACAUAAAGGUUGCCUGAAUGAUUACAAAUUUGUUGUCUCUAUAGUAUAAUAUUACAAUGCAAAGCAGUGAAUAAUGGUAGUCCAUUGUCAAGAUAAAGGUUAUGUAACUUGAAAUCUAUAGUAGUCUCUACAUAGAUGUGGAUGAAUCCACAUUGAAUAUGAAAGUAUACAAAAUGUUAUUUAAAAAAAUUUAGUAUGUUAAAUUUCAUCUCCUCAUUAGCUGUUAUACCUUGCAAGCUUAAGUCACAGAGCUCUUUCUUUACUGAAAUAAUGCAUGUUAUCACCACUGAAACUUUUUUUUUUAAAAGAAAGCAUGCACAGCACACACAUGCACACAUACACACACAUCUAUGGAAGAUAUAAAAAGUACAAUUGUUGAAAGAUAUAUGGAAAGUUUAGUUGGUUAGCAUUGAAUGGUAGAGAACGUAUAUUAGUUUAGGCCUAUGAAAAUGCAAAAGUGCAAGAUUGUUAUUAAUUUGAUUUAAAUAAAUACUGAAAUUAAAAUAUAUUGAGUCACUCAGUUUACCUGAGUGGUCCUGUUUCAUCUUGCGCUUGUCAGUUGGUACCACUUGUACAAUAACAAACAUUGAAAAAAAUUUGAAUUGGGAGUAUGUGCCAGACACUGGAGAUACACAGAAAUUGUGUAGGGAAGACAGGCACGUAAUAUAGUAAUAUAAGUAUAAUAAUGGAUUGUAUAGAAGUACAGGGGUGUUACAAAGCAAAUUAUUAUAUCUGCAAAGGAGAGUUAAGGAAAGAUUAACUUCUAUAAGAAGUGUCACUUUGGUCUAGCCUAGUAUAAUGGAUGUGACCCUACCAUUGUCUAAGAUUGGAAUGGGCACCCAGGGACUAGCAGAUGUGAAACCUAUGAGGAUUCUGGCAGUUACAGAGUUAAAGUAACUUUCCAAUGCCAUUCAGCUAGUAAAUAUCAAAGUUGACAGUUUAACCAGGAUAAUCUCUUUCCCAUGUAAGCAUGCUUAAGGACUAUACUAUGAAUAGAUGAUGAUGAUGUGUUACAAUCUCAAGAGAAAGCAUUUUAUCUUAAAUAAUGAAUGAGUGAGUGAAUUAGUACAUAAAAUGUAUAUUAACACCAAAGAAAGGGAG